This 253-nucleotide ribosomal RNA is filed under the name uncultured bacterium. RNAcentral describes it as "partial 16S ribosomal RNA". It matches the Rfam family "Bacterial small subunit ribosomal RNA", at positions 524 to 776 of the family's 1533-position model. The record is from RNAcentral.
UACGGGGGGGGCUAGCGUUGUUCGGAAUUACUGGGCGUAAAGCGCACGUAGGCGGCUUUGUAAGUUAGAGGUGAAAGCCCGGGGCUCAACUCCGGAAUUGCCUUUAAGACUGCAUCGCUAGAAUUGUGGAGAGGUAAGUGGAAUUCCGAGUGUAGAGGUGAAAUUCGUAGAUAUUCGGAAGAACACCAGUGGCGAAGGCGACUUGCUGGACACAUAUUGACGCUGAGGUGCGAAAGCGUGGGGAGCAAACAGG